GACGAACGCUGGCGGCGUGCUUAACACAUGCAAGUCGAACGGAAAGGCCCUGCUUUUGUGGGGUGCUCGAGUGGCGAACGGGUGAGUAACACGUGAGUAACCUGCCCUUGACUUUGGGAUAACUUCAGGAAACUGGGGCUAAUACCGGAUAGGAGCUCCUGCUGCAUGGUGGGGGUUGGAAAGUUUCGGCGGUUGGGGAUGGACUCGCGGCUUAUCAGCUUGUUGGUGGGGUAGUGGCUUACCAAGGCUUUGACGGGUAGCCGGCCUGAGAGGGUGACCGGCCACAUUGGGACUGAGAUACGGCGCAGACGCCUACGGGAGGCAGCAGUGGGGAAUAUGGCACAAUGGGCGGAAGCCUGAUGCAGCAACGCCGCGUGCGGGAUGACGGCCUUCGGGUUGUAAACCGCUUUCGCCUGUGACGAAGCGUGAGUGACGGUAAUGGGUAAAGAAGCACCAGCUAACUACGUG
RNAcentral lists this ribosomal RNA (468 nucleotides) under uncultured bacterium. Its description in RNAcentral is "partial 16S ribosomal RNA". It matches the Rfam family "Bacterial small subunit ribosomal RNA", at positions 28 to 507 of the family's 1533-position model. The record is from RNAcentral.